GUGCUUGCUUUGGCGGCAUGCAUAAAAAAAUUGGAAUGAUAAAGAUGACCCUGGCCCCUGUGCAAGGUUUCACCCAAAUUCAUGAUGAUCUCAUAUUUAUC
RNAcentral lists this small nuclear RNA (101 nucleotides) under Piliocolobus tephrosceles (Ugandan red Colobus). Lineage: Eukaryota; Metazoa; Chordata; Mammalia; Primates; Cercopithecidae. The record is from RNAcentral.